AAAUAGAGACCAUCCUUUUCUUCUUAACCCUAGAGUCCUGCUCUCUCCCUCCCCACAGCAGCAGCCACCCUACCUUUUUCUAUACUGCACGUAGAAGGAGAAAGAGAGGGGAAAAGAAGAAAGAAGGGGGAGGAGAUCAGGAGGAGGAAGAAGGGGGCCGGUGCCCCUCUCACCCAGCUGCUGGUCUGUGCAGCAGCAAGGGAGGAGGAGAAAGGGAGAAGGGAAGAAGGGAAGGAGGAGGAGAAGAAAGAGGAAAAUCCUGAGCUCUUGUCAAGUUGCUCGUGGUUGCCCUAGGUGGUGGUGUUCCUGAUCGUGUUUGAAGGUUGUCGGUUGUAUCGAAAAAAGGC
This is a long non-coding RNA of Phragmites australis (common reed), 347 nucleotides long. RefSeq lists it as uncharacterized. The record is from RefSeq and is a predicted model, not a curated record. NCBI's taxonomy places the organism in Eukaryota, Viridiplantae, Streptophyta, Magnoliopsida, Poales, Poaceae. The transcript is spliced from 3 exons.